AGAGUUUGAUCCUGGCUCAGAACGAACGCUGGCGGCAUGCCUAACACAUAGCAAGUCGACGAGACCUUCGGGUCUAGUGGCGCACGGGUGCGUAACGCGUGGGAAUCUGCCCUUGGGUUCGGAAUAACAGUUAGAAAUGACUGCUAAUACCGGAUAAUGUCUUCGGACCAAAGAUUUAUCGCCCAGGGAUGAGCCCGCGUAGGAUUAGCUAGUUGGUGAGGUAAAGGCUCACCAAGGCGACGAUCCUUAGCUGGUCUGAGAGGAUGAUCAGCCACACUGGGACUGAGACACGGCCCAGACUCCUACGGGAGGCAGCAGUGGGGAAUAUUGGACAAUGGGCGAAAGCCUGAUCCAGCAAUGCCGCGUGAGUGAUGAAGGCCUUAGGGUUGUAAAGCUCUUUUACCCGGGAUGAUAAUGACAGUACCGGGAGAAUAAGCCCCGGCUAACUCCGUG
Molecule: ribosomal RNA, 453 nt
Filed under: uncultured bacterium
Lineage: Bacteria
Description: bacterial SSU rRNA
Rfam family: Bacterial small subunit ribosomal RNA
Source: RNAcentral